Molecule: RNA transcript, 3859 nt
Organism: Rhea pennata
Lineage: Eukaryota; Metazoa; Chordata; Aves; Rheiformes; Rheidae
Gene: TAL1
Gene name: TAL bHLH transcription factor 1, erythroid differentiation factor
Exons: 8
Source: RefSeq, a predicted model, not a curated record
CUGGCUGGGGGCACGGCGGGCUCUCCGGCGCGUCGUGACCGUCCUGCCGCGGCCCCGCCGGCACACGCACGCCGCCGCGAUCGUGACAGCUCCUGCCGGCCGGGCCGCGAGGGCCGGGGGGAGCCUCUCCCACGGCCGCGUCCAGAGCGGGAGGUUCAGGGGAAGGAGUGAAAGGAAGAACAACAGCUCCGGCAUUUCCCCCCUGCAGACGGGCGUGCAGGUGGCGGCGGAGACAAUAGCGACCCCAGCGCCCCGGGCACGGCCGCCUCCUCCAAACCGCCCGGCAGGAAACUGGACGUGAUGUGGAAUUAGAGCCUACCCAGCUGAAGCCACCCAACACUUACUACAAAUAUAGCCGUGAUGCGUAGGCCACAAAAUGGCUCCACUCACUUUUCCCAAUGAAAAGCAAAUGGAUUUAGCAGUUUUAUCCCGAUGCGGGUGUCCUUCCUCUCUGUAAAGUCGUAAGUACCUUGAGGUGGGAGGAGUAAAUUCAGCCUGACACUGAGAGCGCUUUUGUUGAAACAGGAGAGACUUGCGGUGUCCCUACUUAAAUAUGACACAUACAGAUGGAGAGAUAUGGGGGGAAAAUUGGUUUUCUCUCGCAAUUCAACAAUCUGGUUCAGUUAGCCCAGCAGAAACGAAGGAAAAAAUUACCCAACCCAAACCAGCAGGAAGAUCGGGAAUGAGACCCGAAAUAUUCCAACUUUCUGCUCCGCGAAGCCCCUAAUUUAUAGAAAAAAUCCGAACGAGGGGGAUAGUGGGAGAAAUUAGAUGGAAAUAGUGGCGAUAUCCCUCCCUCCCCUCAUCGUUAGCUGCCUUAUCCCGACAGUAAUCGUUAUAAUUGGGAAGGGAGCGGGGAACGCUGGAGACAAUCAUGUGCAGUCGUGUCUGAAAGGCUGCUCCGUGCAAAGCGCCUUGCCUCUUCCUUCUUCCUGCAUUAGGACGAUGGACAGGCCGCCCGCCCCGCCGCCCCCCAGUGACCCCCGCGAUGCCCGGCCCCCCCGGCGGCACGAGUCGGAAGCGGAAAACACGAGCGAGCCGGAGAGCAGCCGCGGGGGGAUGGAGGCGCCGGGAGACCCCCAGCUGCUGCUCAACGGGGCGGCCAAGGAGGCGGGCCGGCCCUCCCCCGGGCCCCCCGCAGCCGCCGUGCCCGUCAUCGAGCUGGUGCGCCGGGGGGGCUCCCUGGACAUAAAAGGCCGGGAGGCGCCGGCGGAGGCGAUGCAGAGAGCGCCGGGCGCCGAGCCGUGCCGCGCCGCCGAGGCCGCCUGCGAGGCCCGCAUGGUGCAGCUGAGCCCCCCCGCGCUCCCGCUGCAGCCCCCCGGCAGGGCCAUGCUCUACAACCUGGGCCAGCCGCUGGCCACCAUCAACAGCGGGUUCUUCGGGGAGCCGGACUCCUUCUCCAUGUACGGCGGCAACCGCGUCAAGAGGAGACCUUCCCCGUACGAGAUGGAGAUCACCGACGGUCCUCAUACAAAAGUGGUUCGCCGCAUUUUUACCAAUAGUCGGGAGAGGUGGAGACAGCAGAAUGUCAAUGGAGCCUUUGCAGAGCUUCGCAAACUCAUCCCAACUCACCCACCCGAUAAGAAACUGAGCAAGAAUGAGAUUUUACGCCUAGCUAUGAAAUACAUAAACUUCCUGGCCAAGCUGCUCAAUGACCAGGAGGAAGAGGGAAACCAAAGGGGCAAGGUGAACAAAGACUCUGGGAUAGUCCAAGAAGACCUCCUGCAGGACAUGUUGUCUCCUAACUCCAGCUGUGGAAGUUCUUUAGAUGGAGCAGCAAGCCCAGACAGCUUCACGGAAGAACAUGAAACACUAGAUUCAAAGCAUACACGGAGUAUGCAUCACUCCAUUCUUCCCGUAGAAGGCAAUGCGCAGCGAUGAUGAUCUUCCAAACUGCUCCUAAAGCACGAAGGGGAAAGGAAGAGCUGACUAUGUGGAUACUGGAAUUUGUACCCUUGGAAUUUCUGACUCUGCAUUUACAGAAGGCCCCGGGGACUCGGGCUCUGAGUCCUCACAGCCCCAGGACUGAGAGGACAGCGAGCUGGCUGAGAACAAGACCAAAACAGAUUGAUGUUCGACAUUUAGGCUGGAUUUUGGGCUCUGGAUUCAAAAUAAGGCAUUAGUAGGAUCUUUGUCUGCCUGAGGCUGGUAGGAGGCCACAGCCUCUCACAAUCUUGGGGUGAAAUGCUAAUAGCACCAAUGGGAUUACCCUCCAUUCCCAAGAGUUUAGACAGCUUCAAAAUCGAUGGCCGUGAUCAACCUGAUUCUGCUAAAACAGGAAUAAUCCUCUGACCCGCUGCUGCCCUCCAGAAAAGCAUUUGAGAAAUGAAACAACUCAAAAGCAGGAGGUAGUUUCACGACCCCUAGAAAUUGGUGCUGUUCCACUGGCUGCAAGUACGAUGCUGGCUGAUGUGAGCUGAGGAUUUCACCUGUGCCCAUCCCAGGCACGGUGCAGGCAGCCCGACCCUGCUGCCUAAUGACUGACGGAGCGAUUGCCCCAUGCCCAUCCCUUCCCUCUGCAGAGAUUUCAAGGCAAAGAAAUCUCCACCAUGUCAUAGUGAAAAAAAUACCCCAUUCUUUGUACGGGAGAAGUACGCAGAGCGAGGAUGCUUUCCAACUUGCUAAUUCCUUUUCGGAGAUGCUGAGGUACAAGGAAACGCAGAGGAUUUGUGUGUGUGUGUGUGUGUGCAAAAAUUCAGGCCUUGCUAUUUGCAAGCUAGAUCCAGGCUUACUCUGGAUCAGUUCAGUUAUUUCUAUCCCUUGUUGUUAGCUCUUCUCUCCUCUUUGGAGGUAAUAUGUGUGAGGCUGGCUUUUCUCGGCAGGGUGUGCUGAGUGGAAGGUGUUGCCCGGGAAGGGAUCCUGGUAUGAACAAGGGUUUCCAGUUAGCCCCUCAUAUCCUUGAAUACUGGAAGCUUCACUGAUCUUAAAUUGGAGGAAAGAUCCUUCUCGGGUCAAGACUGCCUGUGCAUGGAGACUUUUAAUAGGGAGGUUACCCAGUGGGGCUGGGCAAGGGCAGAGGCGCCCGGUGGUGGAGUGAUGCCAAGGAAGAAGAGAGGCUGCUACCGGUCCCAUGUUUUGGGCUGCUCGUUACUGCCUUGUCUGGGUCUGAGGGGUAGGAGAGGAGGGCAGAGGGGUUUUGGCAGGCAGGAGCCCGAUGCCCCAGCCAGGGCUGCAGGGCACGGUCCCCUCGGACGCCGCUUGCAAGCACCAGCCCUCCCGGCGAGGGCGAGAGACAGUGCCACGCAAAUAAAGCCGUGUUCUCGGUUUUGAACCCUUCACGGGGAAACCGUUGCAAGAAAAAUCACCGAUGCUCAGAAAUUCUUCAUUCCCUAUAUAUAUAUAUACAUUUUUUUUUUCCUUCUUAUCGGUAGCUGAGAAGUUAACGAAAUGGUACAACUCUCCAACACGCGCACACACACCCCGCGCACCCUGCUCCCGUUUGCAGCCUCUAGCAGAGCCCGCCGUAGGCCUCUCCGGGGUAUGUGUAGUUGUACUCUGUGAUUUGAAUGGUACAUUUCCUCGGCCCGUCUUUCCCCCUGCCUGCUGUAUGUCUCGGUGUGUGGAACAUCACCCCGUUUCUGUUCGAAACAGCACUUUCGGUCAAUGUCGUACCGUGUGAUUGAAUUCUCUUCUUACGAUUAUUUUUUUUUUCAGCCCUGACCCUUUCUCGCCCGCCCUCCCCUUGGAUUUCUGCAUUUUUUCUGCAGAAAUGAAGUAACCAGACCUGGUACCCUGAUUCUCGACCCACUGUGGAUGUGCUAUUUAGAAAACACAUUUGUUGUAAUGUGUGUGUACAUAUAAAUAUAUAUAUAUAAUGAAUAUAUCAAGGAUAUUUCUAAAUAAAGUUUUACAAAGCAGC